ACCGGCUCCCGGGAUGACCUUGUUGGUUUGGUGCCAAUGUGUUAAGCACGUCAUCAAUCACGGGUUCGAGGGGAGCUGGUACCAAGUCGGAAGCAACGUACAGGAAUUGUGUGUGUGUGUGUAUAUAUAUGGACCUGUCUAUGGUACAGAUUCUGUGACAAACAUCUCCCGUCAUCCCACCAUCCGAUCUUCUAUUGUUUAGUUUCUCACUCCACAUCCAACGGCUGAUGCUGCAGUCUGUAGCUUACAGAUUCUGUAAGCUAGUCAAGUCCUAUAUAUAUAUGUAUGUUCUUACAUGAAAAAAGGUAUUACAAAAUACCUUCUUUUUAUCACAAAUGCAAAAAAG
Molecule: long non-coding RNA, 346 nt
Filed under: Citrus x clementina
Lineage: Eukaryota; Viridiplantae; Streptophyta; Magnoliopsida; Sapindales; Rutaceae
Description: Citrus clementina (C. clementina) long non-coding RNA (CCLE_LNC001425)
Source: RNAcentral